RNAcentral lists this long non-coding RNA (370 nucleotides) under Ananas comosus (pineapple). Its description in RNAcentral is "long non-coding RNA (ACOM_LNC043214)". Lineage: Eukaryota; Viridiplantae; Streptophyta; Magnoliopsida; Poales; Bromeliaceae. The record is from RNAcentral.
UACUAUUCUAGUCAAUGUCCAAGUAGUACACUAAGUCAUCAUGAAUACUCGAAGUCAAAUCUGAAGAGACCCACCCGAAGGCUGUCUAUGGCCCUGAGACCCACCCGUAGGCUGUCUGGCCGGUGCCGAGCCUAAUGGCCCCGUGGUAGUCAUCAUCCCCACCCUAGGAAUGAGCCUGUCCCACGGCAAUCCACUUCGGCGCCCAAUCCCGCACGGCGAAUAUGAAUCGCGAUGGCCAUCUCCGGAGUGCCGGCUUGUAGGGAGCGACCCUCACAAGCAUGUGCGAAUGAGCACAAUGGCAAGUAAUCAAACAAUCUGUCGCAAGUACCAAGUCAUCAUGUCUACAACAUGGAAUAUAUCACAACUCUCA